Molecule: ribosomal RNA, 867 nt
Filed under: Triticum aestivum (bread wheat)
Lineage: Eukaryota; Viridiplantae; Streptophyta; Magnoliopsida; Poales; Poaceae
Description: partial small subunit ribosomal RNA
Source: RNAcentral
AUGACGGAGGCUCUCAGUGAUAAGUAUUUGGGUUUGCCAGCAAAUGUGGGAAUAGAUAAAAUAUAUUGUUUCCAAUUUCUGAUUAAACGUAUUGUUAAUAAAAUUGGUGGUUGGAAGGAAAAAUUACUAUCUGUCGGGGGAAAGGAGAUCCCGCUCAAGGCUAUGAUCCAAGCCAUACGCACCUAUGCAAUGCCGGUCUUUAAAAUUCCUAAUUUUUUUUGUAAAGGAAUCAUUGACACGAUAGUGCAUUUCUGGUGGGGAGACGAGAAGAAUCAGAAGAGGAUGCAUUGGAUGUCCUGGUGGAAAAUGUGCGUACCCAAAAAUCAAGGAGGAAUGGGAUUUCGUGAUAUUCACUCUUUCAACCUGGCAUUGCUCGCCAAACAGGCAUGGCGUCUUUUGGAUAAUCCCGAUUCCUUGUGUGCCUCUAUCCUAAGGGCUAAGUACUACCCCGAUGGUGAUUUGUUGAACUCCAAGCUAAGGAAGGGAUCAUCUUUUACUUGGCAAAGCAUUAUGGUAGGCACAAAUUCUCUGAAACGUGGUUAUAUUUGGCGAGUGGGGAAUGGACAAAACAUCAAUAUUUGGGAAGACGCCUGGAUCCCAAGUUGUGCCAAUAGGAAAGUUGUAACGCCUAUGGCGGGACAACUGUUAACUAAGGUAGUUGACCUAAUUGAUCCUGUUUCCAAUAAUUGGGAUGAAGAUUUGAUUAGACAAACUACGUGGCCCGUCGAUGUACAAUGGAUUCUUUCAAUUCCACUCUGGCAACAUGAUAUGCCAGAUUUCAUUGCUUGGAGUAUCCGAAAAAUGGUAUGUUUUCGGUUCGGUCAGCUUACUCUAUCGAGUGGGAUCAUCAGUAUGUUAGCAAAUUAA